This 75-nucleotide transfer RNA is filed under the name Caudoviricetes sp. RNAcentral describes it as "tRNA-Thr". It matches the Rfam family "tRNA". Rfam says of the family: Transfer RNA (tRNA) molecules are approximately 80 nucleotides in length. The record is from RNAcentral. Lineage: Duplodnaviria; Heunggongvirae; Uroviricota; Caudoviricetes.
GCUGGUGUAGCUCAGAGGCAGAGCACGGCACUUGUAAUGCCGGGGUCGAGAUUCCGAAAUUCUCCACCAGCUCCA